GACGAACGCUGGCGGCGUGCUUAACACAUGCAAGUCGAACGGAAAGGCUCCAGCUUGCUGGAGUACUCGAGUGGCGAACGGGUGAGUAACACGUGGGUAAUCUGCCCUGCACUCUGGGAUAAGCCUGGGAAACUGGGUCUAAUACUGAUAUGACCUUUCUCCUUAUGGGGUUUGGUGGAAAGUUUUUCGGUGUAGGAUGAGCCCGCGGCCUAUCAGCUUGUUGGUGGGGUGAUGGCCUACCAAGGCGACGACGGGUAGCCGGCCUGAGAGGGUGAUCGGCCACAUUGGGACUGAGAUACGGCCCAGACUCCUACGGGAGGCAGCAGUGGGGAAUAUUGCACAAUGGGCGGAAGCCUGAUGCAGCGACGCCGCGUGAGGGAUGACGGCCUUCGGGUUGUAAACCUCUUUCAGCAGGGACGAAGCGUAAGUGACGGUACCUGCAGAAGAAGCACCGGCUAACUAUGUG
Molecule: ribosomal RNA, 466 nt
Filed under: uncultured bacterium
Lineage: Bacteria
Description: partial 16S ribosomal RNA
Rfam family: Bacterial small subunit ribosomal RNA
Source: RNAcentral